Molecule: non-coding RNA, 1794 nt
Organism: Camelina sativa (false flax)
Lineage: Eukaryota; Viridiplantae; Streptophyta; Magnoliopsida; Brassicales; Brassicaceae
Source: RefSeq, a predicted model, not a curated record
GGGUUUUUUUUUUUUGUUGACUUUUUAUCCUCUUCCUAAACCUCUCUCUCUCUCUACAGAUCUGACUUAACAUUUCUUCUCCAGAUUCUCAAAUCAUUGUCUCUCCGUUUCGACCACCAUUUUUCCUUCUAUUGACUUUAAAUUCAGUUAUUAUUUUCAGAGAUUACAUUAUCGAAAUACACCAUAUAAUCCAAUUCACUACUUGAUUCAACCAAACAUAUUUUGGUAAACGAUUACAUCCGGAAAGGGGAGAAGCAAUCUGAAUAGUCGAAUCCAAUCGAUGUGUGUUUUGGGGUUGAUAAAAUAUGCAAGUCGGGAGGAUUACGUUUGCACCCAUGAGUAUAUCUACUCGACUAAUCAAACCAAUUGAGUUGUACAUGUUUAAGCAACUUAGGUUAUCAAGAGAUUUGACAUGAGAGGCCAAAGUUUCAAACUUCCCUUCCUUUAGGCGCUUGCUCUCAAAAAAAAAAAAAAGGGAAAGGGGUCAAAUAUUGGAAUUCUCACCCAAUCCAACCGAAGCAUAUAAACGAAGACAUCAUAAUAUCAUUUAGAUAUGUAGUUGUUUUCUUUAACAUGUACGAUUAUUUAAUUUAAAAGAGGUGUUAUAUUUAUCGUUUAAACUGUUUUCCUUUUAACUGCAGGAUACCAAAUGACAUGUACUUUCCUGUACGGUAUAUGUGUUUGAAGAGAUAACCAAAAAGGAUAGGGUUUUGUACGUUAUUCACAGACCAGAUACUGAUGACAGGGCAGUAGUCUUAGAAGAAUAAAGAUAAACUGGAUGAUCAUUUUCUGGAACUUCCAAACUGUGGUUUCUUAACAGUUGCAUUAAUAAGGUACACUAUUUUAAUAAGAAAAAGUAUUUAACUUAAAAACACUAAUCAUCUAAAGUAUAUGUGACCUGAAAAAUUUGAAAUAAAGAGUUCGGUAAGCUUACUGUCUCCUCCGGAGUAGUCAGUAUAUUGCUUUCAAGAAUGAAUGAUUUUUCACUUGAAUUCUCCUGGCUGUUUUGAAUGGUCUUAUCGAGAGCGGCAACCAUUGAAGAAGGCUUGAAAGAAUACAAAGGGGAGAAAGUUAAGAAGGUAUGAUGAUGUAACCUUCUUACUAUCAUCCUAUUUAUAUAGGAAGUCUUCAAGUAUUAAGAUUUAGGUAUGAUUUUAUAGUAUAAUUUAGGGUAUAUUAGUGGAAUUUGGGUGGAAAUCUUCGUAGUUAAUUAGGUAAUAUAUUUUUAACAAUAACGAUAUAUAUUUUUUGGUGCAGUUAAGGAAAGAAGUUUAGUCAUAUUCAAGUAGAUUACUAAAAACGCGGUUCAGUAAGAUUUUUGGAAUUUUAUUAAGAGAUUAUCUGUCAAAUUAAGUAAUUUAAGUAAAAAGAUUGAAUAGUGUAAUCAAUGGCUUUAAUCGUUUGACGUGAUUAGAAGGGAGACUAAUUUAAUAUUCUUUUUUCCAUAAAUAAUGUUUUAACUUUUUGCAGCCCAUUAAGUUUUUUGCAGCCCAUAGUAGCCCAUUAAUCAUUUGGCGGACAAACUGAUUUACGUAAAGUAUCCGAUUAAUAAUUUUCGGGUUAUUUCUAAAUUAAAACCCGACCCGUUCUGUUCGAAUGUCAAUUUUAACCUUAAUGACUUGUCUUAUAUUUAAUUUCGAUAGGGAUAUUUUCGGGUUAAACUAAAAUUGUACUUCUCUUUUACUAAUAUAGGGAUAAUAAUAACACCGUGACAAAUUUAUUAAUCUCAAAAACCUUAGUUAUUAUGCAUAAGAAACUUUGUUAACACUUCAAAGUCAAAGAUUGCGUAGUAUG